RNAcentral lists this ribosomal RNA (253 nucleotides) under uncultured bacterium. RNAcentral's name for it is "partial 16S ribosomal RNA". It matches the Rfam family "Bacterial small subunit ribosomal RNA", at positions 524 to 776 of the family's 1533-position model. The record is from RNAcentral.
GACAGAGGGUGCAAACGUUGUUCGGAAUUACUGGGCGUAAAGGGCUCGUAGGCGGCCAACUAAGUCCGACGUGAAAUCCCCAGGCUUAACCUGGGAACUGCGUCGGAUACUGGUUGGCUUGAAUCCGGGAGAGGGAUGCGGAAUUCCAGGUGUAGCGGUGAAAUUCGUAGAUAUUAGGAAGAACACCAGUGGCGAAGGCGGCUCACUGGUCCGGUACUGACGCUGAGGUGCGAAAGCGUGGGGAGCAAACAGG